RNAcentral lists this small nuclear RNA (135 nucleotides) under Gouania willdenowi (blunt-snouted clingfish). RNAcentral's name for it is "U1 spliceosomal RNA (ENSGWIG00000009883.1)". It matches the Rfam family "U1 spliceosomal RNA", at positions 30 to 166 of the family's 166-position model. From Rfam's summary of the family: U1 is a small nuclear RNA (snRNA) component of the spliceosome (involved in pre-mRNA splicing). The record is from Rfam by way of RNAcentral. Lineage: Eukaryota; Metazoa; Chordata; Actinopteri; Blenniiformes; Gobiesocidae.
AAAUUGAAUUGGUUCACCGAGGACGAGGCUUAGCCAUUGCACUGCGGCUGCGCUGACUUUUACGAAUUCCCCAAAUGUGGAAAUCUCGACUGCAUAAUUUCUGGUAGUGGGGGACUGCGUUCGCGCUCUCCCCUG